UACGUAGGGACCAAGCGUUGUUCGGAUUUACUGGGCGUAAAGGGCGCGUAGGCGGCGUGGUAAGUCACUUGUGAAAUCUCCGAGCUUAACUCGGAACUGCCAAGUGAUACUGCUGUGCUAGAGUGCAGAAGGGGCAACCGGAAUUCUUGGUGUAGCGGUGAAAUGCGUAGAUAUCAAGAGGAACACCUGAGGUGAAGACGGGUUGCUGGGCUGACACUGACGCUGAGGCGCGAAAGCCAGGGGAGCAAACGGG
RNAcentral lists this ribosomal RNA (253 nucleotides) under uncultured bacterium. Its description in RNAcentral is "partial 16S ribosomal RNA". It matches the Rfam family "Bacterial small subunit ribosomal RNA", at positions 524 to 776 of the family's 1533-position model. The record is from RNAcentral.